Drosophila subpulchrella is the source of this 2742-nucleotide RNA transcript. It is a transcript of the gene named tetraspanin-17, with no coding region annotated. The transcript has 6 exons. Lineage: Eukaryota; Metazoa; Arthropoda; Insecta; Diptera; Drosophilidae. The record is from RefSeq and is a predicted model, not a curated record.
UUUUGUAAACACAUAAAUUUGAUACAAAUCCGCACUGAACACAGACAAAUCGCGAAUCGAAAUGACGCUCGGGCGAAAACAAUAGCGUGGCUCGAAAUGGAGUCCAGAGGAAUUUUUAGAAAUAAAGUAACGGCCAUAUUUAUUAUUGUUGAAAUUGGAGUAAUGCCAGCUCCUGUGCGCAAGUUCCGCCGCGAGACCAGCGAAAUCAGCUGCUGCCUAAAGUACCUUCUCUUCGCCAGCAAUGUGGUUCUGUGGCUUUCGGCUUUGCUGGUCCUGUCGGUUGGCAUCUGGGCUUGGAGUGAGAAGGACAUGUUCCGCAACAUCACUCGGCUGCACUUCAUCGCCCUAGACCCCGCUUUUGUCCUGAUUAUCCUGGGCGGCGUAACCUUUCUGCUGGGCUUUAUGGGCAGCGUGGGGGCCUUGCGCGAGAACACUUGUCUCCUUGCAGCGUACGCCAUCUUCCUCAGUGUUCUGCUCAUCGCCGAGAUCGGUUUCUGUGCCGUGGCCUUCGUGCUUAAGGACAAGGGAUGGAUAAAGAACCAGGCCACCGAGGGCCUGAAAGCCUUCAUCCGUCACUAUCGAGAGGAUGCUGACCAACAGAAUCUUAUUGACUGGAUCCAGGAAGACUGGUUACAGUGUUGCGGCGUUGAUGGCCCGAAGGACUGGGACAGCAACAACUACUUUAACUGCUCAUCUAUUGCCAUUGGCAGUAGGGAGGCGUGCGGUGUGCCCUUCUCCUGCUGUCGUAGGCGUCCCCACGAGCAGAUCAAGAUCAAACAAUGCGGCUACGAUGUGCGCAAGGAUGGAUAUAUCCCAACAAAUUAAAAUCUGAACCGUAUUUGCGCGUCGCCUAGCGCGAUGUGGUGUGGUGCAGCGGUAGUGCUCUCGACUGCGAACCCAGCGGUCGUCAAUUCUAUUCUCGCAGCGACCACAAAGAUUUUUUUUAAAAAAAUCUAAUGAUUCUAAUUAGCAUUCCCUCUCAAACUAAAGUAAGAAAUGGAACACUAAGUCAAAUAUUCAUUAAAAAUUACAGGAAAAUUACCACAGAAAAUGUUUGCCGAGAACCAACAAACAACAUGUCCAAACAACACUUAUUUAUAACAAUUUUACUUAUUUUUAAGGGCGCUUUCCCUUGUUUUUAAGUCGCUUUUCUUUUAAAACAAAAAUAACAGCAAACAUUCAAGAAAAAUUUGCCUUCAUUUAGGCUAUUUACCAUUAAAAUAAGAAAGUCACCAUAAAAAAUUCAAGAAAUAUCGCCGUUAAAUUUAAAAUUGUUUUCAUAUGUUAAAGGCAUUUACCAUCGAAAAUAGAUAAUUUGCCCUAGAAUUAGGAAAAUUCACCCUAGCUUUAGGAAAAAUCGACCUAAAUGUAAGACUAAUACAUGCCUAAUUUUAGAAAAUGUUGCCCUAAUUUUGUUACUUAAUCGCCAUUGACCCCCGUUUAGGGCGAUUUUACAGUAAAAUUUUUAUAAUUUUGGAACACAAGCUAGGAGCAGUUCUAAGCAUUAUUUCCCAGGAGAUUAGGUGUCUAAAACCACGUUUGGCCCACUGCACUGGUUUUCCUUUUUUUUUGGAGAAAAACAUCAUAGUAGCCGUAACAUAUAUUUAUAAAAUUUAAUUUAUCAGAUCAAUUUGAUCCCCUUUGUUAAAAUUGUGUUCUCUCUUUAAGUUAUUUCUUUACAACCCAUGCUAUAAAUUAAAGAAGUUGGCAUUAGGCAUACAGAUUCUAGGGGCACACUCUAACGAUCAAAACGCUAAAACCUGACUAGCGCCCACAUUUUUUAAUAUUUUGUAAAAGUGUAAAUGGUGUUGUGUUCUGAUUUCAAAGGUACAAAGACAAAAAUAUUUAUUUUUAGUGUUCCAUGAUAAUUGGAACCUACAUCUACAUCCCAAAAAUUGUUCAAUUGUUAAAAAGCUAAUAAAGCGUUCAAUUUGGGAAACAGCCGAUAUGCUGCAUGUAUGCCUUUAUCCCCCUCGCAAUACCUUUAGCCGAGGCCGUCGACUAUAGCGUUUUUUCCUAAGCAUUUACGGGAGAAAAAAUGAAAAUAUUCCAGCCCACCAUACCCCUAAUUUAGAAGUAACGUUGAAACUAAUUAAAAUCUGAGAACUCUUGUUGGCUAGUUUAAUCCAUAAAAAAAGCCCUCAUUCAAAGAAUAAGAACCGUUCAAAGCAAUUUGCUGGUACACUUAACAGUUACCACUGAAUAGAGUAUUAAAUUUUUUUGUUCUUUAAAGAGUUUGAAGGUCUAAUGAACUGUUUUGUGAUUUAUAUGCCAAUCUUAGUUUGAUUUAAAAUUGUUUACACAACAACUCAAAAUUUAUAGUUUAUAUAUAGUUUUCCACGAUAAUUUGAUCCUCCUGAGUAAAAGUCCCAUACAAACUUGUGUUUCAUCACCUACAGGUUCCGCGGUAUAGCUAAGAUUACAAAAAACCGAUGUUUGCCCACAUAUUAAAUUAUGUGGCCAAUGUCAUUGUACUUAUCUUAAAUAUUUUUGCUGAAACACAUUGGAUUUUACGCCUAAGUUACAACUCCCAACAUUUUCACAAUUUCCAUGAUUGAAAUCCGCCGUCGAUCUAGCCAUGUCCGUCUGUCCGUAUGAACGCUGUGAUCUCGGAAACUAUAAAAGCUGCAAUACUGGGUUCUAAAGAUUCCUGCGGCUCCCACAGUUUUAAUGGUAGAAUAAAAUGUUAACUAAAAUGUAUUGUUCUCAUCAAUACCUAUCGAUUGACCCAAGUAUGACACG